This 231-nucleotide RNase P RNA is filed under the name Deltaproteobacteria bacterium. RNAcentral's name for it is "partial RNase P RNA component class A". It matches the Rfam family "Bacterial RNase P class A", at positions 1 to 240 of the family's 367-position model. From Rfam's summary of the family: Ribonuclease P (RNase P) is a ubiquitous endoribonuclease, found in archaea, bacteria and eukarya as well as chloroplasts and mitochondria. The record is from RNAcentral. Lineage: Bacteria; Pseudomonadati; Myxococcota; Myxococcia.
GAAGUAGUCCAGAUGGCCGCUGCCGGCUUGGCCGGUGGAGGAAAGUCCGGGCUCCACAGGGUAUGACGCUGGAUAACGUCCAGCGGGGGCGACCCCAGGGAUAAGUGCCACAGAGAGAAGUCCGCCUGCUGCGGCAGGUAAGGGUGAAAGGGUGAGGUAAGAGCUCACCGGGUCUGGCGGUGACGUCAGAUGCCAGGUAAACCCCGUCAGGAGCAAGGCCAAAUAGGGAGG